CUCAAAGGUAGAGGCCGCGAUAGGAAAGAGUAAGCUAUGGGAGAUUCAGUGGAAUCUUUGAUCAUAGAUUGAAAGGGACUAUUGCCGAAAUAUAAGAGUGACCACCUCAUUCAUAUAUUGGGACUACAUUGAAUAAAUGUAGUACUGUCAUAAGAUUUUAUUUUAUGGAGAGCUAUUUGGAGA
This is a non-coding RNA of Bacillus cereus Rock3-44, 183 nucleotides long. The record is from Rfam. Lineage: Bacteria; Bacillati; Bacillota; Bacilli; Caryophanales; Bacillaceae.